Molecule: ribosomal RNA, 508 nt
Filed under: uncultured bacterium
Lineage: Bacteria
Description: partial 16S ribosomal RNA
Rfam family: Bacterial small subunit ribosomal RNA
Source: RNAcentral
GAUGAACGCUGGCGGCGUGCCUAAUACAUGCAAGUCGAACGCUUAUAUCCUCCCGAGUGCUUGCUCUCAAUAGGAAAGAGGGGGUGCGGAAGGGUGAGUAACCCGUGCUAAACCUACCCAACAGCGUGGGAUAACACUUGGAAACAGGGGCUAAUACCGCAUAACAGUUUAUGCCGCAUGGCAUAAGAGUGAAAGGCGCUCUUGGGUGUCGAUGAGGGCCGGACCCGCGGUGCAUUAGCUAGUUGGUAAGGUAACGGCUCACCAAGGCCACGAUGCAUAGCCGACCUGAGAGGGUGAUCGGCCACACUGGGACUGAGACACGGCCCAGACUCCUACGGGAGGCAGCAGUAGGGAAUCUUCGGCAAUGGGCGAAAGCCUGACCGAGCAACGCCGCGUGAGUGAAGAAGGUUUUCGGAUCGUAAAACUCUGUUGUUAGGGAAGAACAAGUGCGUAAGUAACUGAGCGCCCCCUGACGGUACCUAACCAGAAAGCCACGGCUAACUACGUG